CAGUAGUACUUCACCAAUUUGAUAAGAGCAGAGCCAACAAAAGAUAACUAAUCAACAGGGUCUUGUGGCUCUAGCUUCGAAAUUUCUGUAAAAAGCCAUUGCUGUAGCACCUUCACUUCCCAUUCUUCUGAAUUCUCUUCUUCCAAAAUCUGACGAUGUCAUCUAUCUCACCGUCGGGACUCUCCCUCCGCCGCUCCUCCGCCGCUUUCCACCACCAGCUGCCUUGCUUACUCUUAUCUCCCUCAUGCCGGAAAGUUACUACUUUCGCUAAAUGUUUCCUCUCCCUACGCCUUUGGAAUUCGCGCAAGCAUUUCUCCGUGACCGCCAGCAACACUUUGACGGCCAAUUCUGUAGAGCCAAGAAAUGGUGUAUAUACAGUAGGUGAUUUCAUGACAAGAAAAGAUGAUCUACAUGUGGUAAAACCAUCAACAUCUGUAGAUGAAGCCUUGGAAAUUUUGGUAGAACGCAGAAUCACUGGUUUCCCUGUGGUUGAUAAUGGCUGGAAAUUGGUUGGUCUUGUUUCUGAUUAUGAUCUUUUGGCUCUGGACUCUGUAUCAGGUACAGGAGGAGCUGAUGCAAACAUGUUCCCCGAAGUGGACAGCAACUGGAAAACAUUCAAUGAGGUUCAAAAGUUGAUUAGUAAGACCAAGGGGAAAGUGGUUGGUGAUUUGAUGACACCUGCUCCACUAGUAGUUCGGGAGUCUACCAAUCUUGAGGAUGCAGCAAGACUUCUGCUCAAAACAAAAUAUCGUCGUCUUCCUGUUGUAGAUAGUGAUGGAAAGUUGGUGGGAAUAAUAACUAGGGGAAAUGUUGUGCGAGCUGCCCUUCGUAUAAAACGGAUCAUGGAAAUGGAAGGCCAACAGUGAUCAAUUGGAUUCAGCAGUAAACAUGCAUGGAUGCAGUUCAGUUCGAGAAACGUAGAAUCAUAUGUUCUCCUUUUCCCGUAGAGGAGAGGUGACAUACGGCAGUCAAAUUUACAUUAGUAGGAUUUGCCAACCGGUUGAAUCUAGGAUAUUUAUGUAAGUUUUUAGAAGAUGAAAACGAACAUUCUGCAAUGUGCAAGAUAUACAGAGUUUAGUUUGUAGAUAAUACAGUUCCAUGGCUCCAUGAGAAAUAUUUGCGAGUCAAAACUCCUCACAGGUAUGUGCCACAGAAGAACAUAUCAUUUGUAAUUGGAAGGAAUUUUAUUUGAGGUGCACAUUGAAAAGGAGGCUUCUUCGAGCGGAGGCUUAGUUUCCAUUCUCUGAUAUGUGAGUACGAGACAUUAUUAUGUUAUACAUCUACAUAAUUUAAUAGUUAGGUAGGAUGUUUACCGUUAUGAUGGUGUCUUUUCGUUACAUAAUUUAGCAGUGUUUUGGUUUGUAUUAUCUCUAUCUGACUGUAACUUUCUUAUACAAUUACUUGGGAUUAGUGUAAACAUUUGUUUUUACAAUAUCAGUAUACCUUUGAUAGCAGGUUAAUUGCUGCUUACAUCAAACCCCAUUAAUGUUUA
RNA transcript from Solanum dulcamara, 1492 nucleotides. It is a transcript of the gene named CBS domain-containing protein CBSX1, chloroplastic-like, with no coding region annotated. Lineage: Eukaryota; Viridiplantae; Streptophyta; Magnoliopsida; Solanales; Solanaceae. The record is from RefSeq and is a predicted model, not a curated record. The transcript has 9 exons.